This 253-nucleotide ribosomal RNA is filed under the name uncultured bacterium. RNAcentral's name for it is "partial 16S ribosomal RNA". It matches the Rfam family "Bacterial small subunit ribosomal RNA", at positions 524 to 776 of the family's 1533-position model. The record is from RNAcentral.
UACGUAGGUGGCAAGCGUUGUCCGGAUUUACUGGGCGUAAAGCGUGUGCAGGCGGUUCGGCAAGUUGGAUGUGAAAUCUCCCGGCUCAACUGGGAGGGGUCGUUCAAUACUACCGAACUUGAGGGCAUCAGAGGAAGGUGGAAUUCCGGGUGUAGUGGUGAAAUGCGUAGAUAUCGGGAGGAACACCAGUGGCGAAGGCGACUACCUGGCCUGUUCUUGACGCUGAGGCGCGAAAGCUAGGGGAGCAAACGGG